UCUGCAACGACUGUAACAGUGUAACCGCCACCGUCACCGCCAUCAUCACCGAAUACCGACUCAUUUCCAAUUUCCACAGUAUCUCGAGUCCUCGACUACCUCGUAAAGUCGUAACGAAUAACGACKCAACAGUAAGUUGGUUCGCCGGCAUUGGACGUUGAUGUCACGCAAUAAACUGAUUACUAACACCACUGUAGCUCUGCGACCAGCCGGAGCCGAGCCGCGUUCGGUAUGGUACUGUGGUGUGCAGCGUACCGGCUUUGUUAUGGACAGGUUCGUGAUUCGCCUUUAAUCUCUCAACUUCAAUGUUAUCCUUCCUUGCCGGUACUGCUUUUCUGUCGACCUUACCGCUUAAGUAUUUACCAUGUUCUCAGUUUCCGUCAACUCCGAACCGACAGUGAUCGUUUUCCGUUAGUUAUGUGUCAUCGGUCGGCAUAAGAUUUAUAAUAAUAACAAUUAAUUAUACGACGCACAAUAAUAUUCUAUUUUAUUAUUCUCAUCGUCUAUUGAAACCGGUGUCGAUUUCGCGUCUUGUGAAAACACGUGUUUAUGCUCGUUUUGUUUAUUUUAUCUGUAAGUUAUGUAAGGUUAGUUGUUGGUCUAUCCUCGUUUUUGACGGAGAUUGGCAAGAAAUUAUUAAUUUGGUGCCAGUGAUUUCAGUAGAGACUACAGAGUCUAGUAGUGAAUACUGGAGACGUUGAACAAAGACUACGUGUCUACGUCCAGAUCAAGGCGAUAGUUGUUCGUCAUGCGUAGUAUCUGGAUUGGUUAUUUUCCUACUGAAUGUUCCAUAUCUUUAGUACAACUCCAAGCAAGUGAAAGCCGUGUAUUGCUUCAGAAUUCAGUGUAUGCAUUAGUUUAAUAAUUCAUCGUUGUGAUAUUUUGCAUGUCGUUUGAACACUUUAAACAGUGGCUUGUGGUACCUAUGAUAUCUUAAGCUGUAUAGAGGCAUAUAUCAAUUGACACUUAUCAUUGAUUAUAAAUUCAAAAUCAAUCAUGUGUUUGUCAUUAAUAUUAUCGUAAACAAAAAUUCACUAUUGAGAUCUACUGUCUUCAACAAUUUGUAUAAUAAACAAUCAUCAUCUGGAUCACUGGCAGGCCGCAUACUACAAGGCCAACAUUACCUCCAACACAGUCACUCACACAGCAAACGACUUAAAACCCAAUUUGAUUAAGUCUAUCAAAUAAAUCAAUCAAAAUUUGUUUUGUCAUCUUAGUAUCAAAAUCAACAAAAAUGGGCUGCUUCCAUUUUGAAGCAAUUCCACGGGCCAUGACCACCUGAAA
This is a long non-coding RNA of Diuraphis noxia (Russian wheat aphid), 1284 nucleotides long. The record is from RefSeq and is a predicted model, not a curated record. NCBI's taxonomy places the organism in Eukaryota, Metazoa, Arthropoda, Insecta, Hemiptera, Aphididae.